GAGGGGCAGCGGGGAGUGAGGCUUGCCUUACUCUGCCGGCGACCGGCGCACGGGUGAGUAACACGUAUGCAACCUACCCUUUACAGCGGGAUAACCGGAAGAAAUUUCGCCUAAUACCGCAUAUACUCCUUGGGAGGCAUCUUCCGAGGGGGAAAGAAUUUCGGUGAAGGAUGGGCAUGCGUCGCAUUAGUUAGUUGGCGGUGUAACGGACCACCAAGACGACGAUGCGUAGGGGUUCUGAGAGGAAGGUCCCCCACACUGGUACUGAGACACGGACCAGACUCCUACGGGAGGCAGCAGUGAGGAAUAUUGGUCAAUGGCCGAGAGGCUGAACCAGCCAAGUCGCGUGAGGGAAGAAUGUCCUAUGGAUUGUAAACCUCUUUUGUCAGGGAGCAAAGUCACCCACGUGUGGGUGUUGGAGAGUACCUGAAGAAAAAGCAUCGGCUAACUCCGUGCCAGCAGCCGCGGUAAUACGGAGGAUGCGAGCGUUAUCCGGAUUUAUUGGGUUUAAAGGGUGCGUAGGCGGGUUAUCAAGUCAGCGGUAAAAUCGUGGAGCUCAACUCCAUCCAGCCGUUGAAACUGAUGAUCUUGAGUGGGCGAGAAGUAUGCGGAAUGCGUGGUGUAGCGGUGAAAUGCAUAGAUAUCACGCAGAACUCCGAUUGCGAAGGCAGCAUACCGGCGCCCGACUGACGCUGAAGCACGAAAGCGUGGGUAUCGAACAGGAUUAGAUACCCUGGUAGUCCACGCAGUAAACGAUGAAUACUAAUUGUGUGCUCCGAAUGAGGAGUGCGUGAUACAGCGAAAGCGUUAAGUAUUCCACCUGGGGAGUACGCCGGCAACGGUGAAACUCAAAGGAAUUGACGGGGGCCCGCACAAGCGGAGGAACAUGUGGUUUAAUUCGAUGAUACGCGAGGAACCUUACCCGGGCUCAAACGCAGGAGGGAUGUUUUUGAAAGGAGGCAGCUCUACGGAGUCUCCUGCGAGGUGCUGCAUGGUUGUCGUCAGCUCGUGCCGUGAGGUGUCGGCUUAAGUGCCAUAACGAGCGCAACCCCUACCGCCAGUUGCCAACGGGUAAAGCCGGGAACUCUGGCGGGACUGCCGGCGCAAGCUGUGAGGAAGGCGGGGAUGACGUCAAAUCAGCACGGCCCUUACGUCCGGGGCGACACACGUGUUACAAUGGCAGGUACAGCGGGAAGCCACUUGGCGACAAGGCGCGGAACCCGAAAACCUGUCUCAGUUCGGAUUGGAGUCUGCAACCCGACUCCAUGAAGCUGGAUUCGCUAGUA
Molecule: ribosomal RNA, 1286 nt
Filed under: uncultured bacterium
Lineage: Bacteria
Description: partial 16S ribosomal RNA
Rfam family: Bacterial small subunit ribosomal RNA
Source: RNAcentral